RNAcentral lists this ribosomal RNA (423 nucleotides) under uncultured bacterium. RNAcentral describes it as "bacterial SSU rRNA". It matches the Rfam family "Bacterial small subunit ribosomal RNA", at positions 358 to 773 of the family's 1533-position model. The record is from RNAcentral.
GGAAUAUAGGACAAUGGGCGCAAGCCUGAUCCAGCAAUGCCGCGUGUGUGAAGAAGGCCUUCGGGUUGUAAAGCCCUUUAAGUUGGGAGGAAAGCCUUUGUGUUAAUAGCACAGAGGGGUGACGUUACCAACAGAAUAAGCACCGACUAACUCCGGGCCCGUAGCCGCGGUAAUACGGAGGGUGCAAGCGUUCAUCGGAAUUACUGGGCGUAAAGCGCGCGUAGGCGGUUUGUUAAGUCAGAUGUGAAAUCCCCGGGCUCAACCUGGGAAUGGCAUUUGAGACUGGCAGGCUAGAGUGUGGUAGAGGUGAGUGGAAUUUCAGGUGUAGCGGUGAAAUGCGUAGAGAUCUGAAGGAACAUCAGUGGCGAAGGCGACUCACUGGGCCAUUACUGACGCUGAGGUGCGAAAGCGUGGGUAGCAAAC